Molecule: transfer RNA, 71 nt
Filed under: Stolephorus chinensis (China anchovy)
Lineage: Eukaryota; Metazoa; Chordata; Actinopteri; Clupeiformes; Engraulidae
Also listed under: 1 other name
Description: tRNA-Ser (UCN)
Rfam family: tRNA
About the family: Transfer RNA (tRNA) molecules are approximately 80 nucleotides in length. Their secondary structure includes four short double-helical elements and three loops (D, anti-codon, and T loops).
Source: RNAcentral
GAGAAAGUGUCAGAGUGGCAACGAGGUUGGCUUGAAACCAUCUUACGGGGGUUCGAUUCCUUCCUUUCUCG